ACCCCGCAUAAAGCCGCUGACAAGAGUGGAAGACUGCAGGCUGCACCGUCUUUGCUAAUUGGUAAGUGCAUUAUACAAGUAUAAUUUAGUGGGAAUGCUGGCCUCCAUUGGUGGAAGAGAUACCAAAAACAUCAUAACCAACCAAGGCCAUUAUGGCUUGAGCAGUGAGGAAGAAUCGCAUGUCUGACAAAGCCACCGACACCGAGAUAAACCA
Molecule: long non-coding RNA, 214 nt
Organism: Rhinichthys klamathensis goyatoka
Lineage: Eukaryota; Metazoa; Chordata; Actinopteri; Cypriniformes; Leuciscidae
Exons: 3
Source: RefSeq, a predicted model, not a curated record